ACGUAGGGGGCGAGCGUUAUCCGGAAUUAUUGGGCGUAAAGAGUGCGUAGGUGGCUUUUUAAGUGUGAGGUGAAAGGCAAUAGCUUAACCAUUGUAAGCCUUGCGAACUGGAAGACUUGAGUGGGGGAGAGGAAAGUGGAAUUCCUAGUGUAGAGGUGAAAUGCGUAGAUAUUAGGAGGAACACCGGUGGCGAAGGCGACUUCCUGGACUGUAACUGACACUGAGGCGCGAGAGCGUGGGGAGCAAACAG
This 250-nucleotide ribosomal RNA is filed under the name uncultured prokaryote. RNAcentral's name for it is "partial 16S rRNA". It matches the Rfam family "Bacterial small subunit ribosomal RNA", at positions 525 to 775 of the family's 1533-position model. The record is from RNAcentral.